Molecule: unclassified non-coding RNA, 303 nt
Filed under: Hevea brasiliensis (rubber tree)
Lineage: Eukaryota; Viridiplantae; Streptophyta; Magnoliopsida; Malpighiales; Euphorbiaceae
Source: RNAcentral
CUUCAUGUGUACACCUUUCUGCACCAAAGUAUCGCAGAAAUCGACUUAUGCGCCAUUGCAUUAGCCCGACCCAAGAUGUAGUUGAUAAUAACCGGGAAAUGGAUAGCGAAAAUGAUAGUGAAAUUGCUUCCGUAUCGUCAUUUCAAGAAGGAGAGGAGAUAGAAGCGGAGGUUAAAACAGAGGCAUUUGAGAAUCAGACUAUAUGGAACCAAACGAGGGAGAUUAUGAUGUUUACAGGGCCUGCUACGGGGCUUUGGUUAUGUGGGCCGUUGAUGAGUCUCAUUGAUACUGCAGUUAUCGGUC